UUGCUAGUGCUGGAAACUGAGCUAAGCCGCUGAACGGUAUGCAGAGAGUAUGGCACGGCUAUUGCUCCCCGCACUGCCCAGAGAAUGUGCCUCAGUCCUGAACAUGGAGGGACCAUGUCUAGGGCUGAGAAGGGUAGUUCAGUCUCCAUGCUCCAUUAAUACUGAGAUUGC
Unclassified non-coding RNA from Chelonoidis abingdonii (Abingdon island giant tortoise), 171 nucleotides. The record is from Ensembl. Lineage: Eukaryota; Metazoa; Chordata; Testudines; Testudinidae.